GAUGAACGCUGGCGGUGUGCCUAAUACAUGCAAGUCGAGCGAACAGACGAGGAGCUUGCUCCUCUGACGUUAGCGGCGGACGGGUGAGUAACACGUGGAUAACCUACCUAUAAGACUGGGAUAACUUCGGGAAACCGGAGCUAAUACCGGAUAAUAUAUUGAACCGCAUGGUUCCAUAGUGAAAGACGGUUUUGCUGUCACUUAUAGAUGGAUCCGCGCCGCAUUAGCUAGUUGGUAAGGUAACGGCUUACCAAGGCAACGAUGCGUAGCCGACCUGAGAGGGUGAUCGGCCACACUGGAACUGAGACACGGUCCAGACUCCUACGGGAGGCAGCAGUAGGGAAUCUUCCGCAAUGGGCGAAAGCCUGACGGAGCAACGCCGCGUGAGUGAUGAAGGUCUUCGGAUCGUAAAACUCUGUUAUUAGGGAAGAACAAAUGUGUAAGUAACUAUGCACGUCUUGACGGUACCUAAUCAGAAAGCCACGGCUAACUACGUG
Molecule: ribosomal RNA, 497 nt
Filed under: uncultured bacterium
Lineage: Bacteria
Description: partial 16S ribosomal RNA
Rfam family: Bacterial small subunit ribosomal RNA
Source: RNAcentral